GACGAACGCUGGCGGCGUGCCUAAUACAUGCAAGUCGAGCGAAGCGGCGGAUGGGUGAGAAACGCGUGGGUAACCUGCCAUUAAGGCUGGGAUACCAGUUGGAAACAGAUACCAAUACCGGACACUAAAGGAUUGACUUGCGAUGCAUGAGCUAGUUGGUAAGGUAACGGCUUACAAAGGCGAUGAUGCAUAGCCGAUUUGAGAGACUGAUCGGCCACAUUGGAACUGAGACACGGUCCAGACUCCUACGGGAGGCAGCAGUAGGGAAUCUUCCACAAUGGGCGAAAGUCUGAUGGAGCAACGCCGCGUGAGUGAAGAAGGUUUUCGGAUCGUAAAGCUCUGUUGUUGGUGAAGCGGUAAUCAACCAGAAAGCCACGGCUAACUACGUGCCAGCAGCCGCGGUAAUUC
Molecule: ribosomal RNA, 408 nt
Filed under: uncultured bacterium
Lineage: Bacteria
Description: partial 16S ribosomal RNA
Rfam family: Bacterial small subunit ribosomal RNA
Source: RNAcentral